CUUAUUUUGUGUGAAAAGCACCUGAACAGUAAAUCUCACUUCAGUUUUUUCAUUCAGCUUUUCUCUUUGUCUUUUUUUUGCCCCAGCAUCUCUUGAAACAG
This is a long non-coding RNA of Poecilia latipinna (sailfin molly), 101 nucleotides long. RefSeq lists it as uncharacterized. NCBI's taxonomy places the organism in Eukaryota, Metazoa, Chordata, Actinopteri, Cyprinodontiformes, Poeciliidae. The record is from RefSeq and is a predicted model, not a curated record. The transcript is spliced from 3 exons.